Molecule: ribosomal RNA, 506 nt
Filed under: uncultured bacterium
Lineage: Bacteria
Description: partial 16S ribosomal RNA
Rfam family: Bacterial small subunit ribosomal RNA
Source: RNAcentral
GAUGAACGCUAGCUACAGGCUUAACACAUGCAAGUCGGGGGGUAACGAGAGGAAAGCUUGCUUUCCUUGUCGACGACCGGCGCACGGGUGAGUAACGCGUAUCCAACCUGCCCCCAACUAGGGAAUAACCUUGCGAAAGUAAGACUAAUACCCUAUAAUUUCCUCAGAUGUCAUCUGACGAGGAAUAAAGAUUUAUCGGUUGUGGAUGGGGAUGCGUCUGAUUAGCUUGUUGGCGGGGUAACGGCCCACCAAGGCAACGAUCAGUAGGGGUUCUGAGGGGAAGGUCCCCCACAUUGGAACUGAGACACGGUCCAAACUCCUACGGGAGGCAGCAGUGAGGAAUAUUGGUCAAUGGGCGGAAGCCUGAACCAGCCAAGUAGCUUGCAGGAUGACGGCCCUAUGGGUUGUAAACUGCUUUUAUACAGGAAUAAAGUUAGCCACGUGUGGUUAUUUGUAGGUACUGUAUGAAUAAGGACCGGCUAAUUCCGUGCCAGCCGCCGCCGUAA